RNAcentral lists this ribosomal RNA (505 nucleotides) under uncultured Rikenellaceae bacterium. Its description in RNAcentral is "bacterial SSU rRNA". It matches the Rfam family "Bacterial small subunit ribosomal RNA", at positions 903 to 1382 of the family's 1533-position model. Lineage: Bacteria; Pseudomonadati; Bacteroidota; Bacteroidia; Bacteroidales; Rikenellaceae. The record is from RNAcentral.
CGCCUUGCCAGCCCGCUCAGAAACUUAAAGGAAUUGACGGGGGCCCGCACAAGCGGAGGAACAUGUGGUUUAAUUCGAUGAUACGCGAGGAACCUUACCUGGGCUAGAACGCAUUCGGAAUCAGGCCGAAAGGUCUGCGCCAGCGAUGGCCGGUUGCGAGGUGCUGCAUGGUUGUCGUCAGCUCGUGCCGUGAGGUGUCGGGUUAAGUCCCAUAACGAGCGCAACCCCUACUGCUAGUUGCCAGCGGGUCAUGCCGGGGACUCUAGCGGAACUGCCAGCGUAAGCUGCGAGGAAGGUGGGGAUGACGUCAAAUCAGCACGGCCCUUACGUCCAGGGCUACACACGUGUUACAAUGGCCAGUACAGAGGGCAGCCACCCCGCGAGGGGGCGCUAAUCCUAAAAGCUGGUCCCAGUUCGGAUCGGAGUCUGCAACCCGACUCCGUGAAGCUGGAUUCGCUAGUAAUCGCGCAUCAGCCAUGGCGCGGUGAAUACGUUCCCGGGCCUU